Molecule: transfer-messenger RNA, 376 nt
Filed under: Rhodocyclaceae
Lineage: Bacteria; Pseudomonadati; Pseudomonadota; Betaproteobacteria; Rhodocyclales
Also listed under: 1 other name
Description: Nitrogeniibacter halophilus Standard tmRNA
Rfam family: transfer-messenger RNA
About the family: Bacterial tmRNA, also known as 10Sa RNA or SsrA, is named for its dual tRNA and mRNA-like properties.
Source: RNAcentral
GGGGCCGACUUGGCUUCGACGUGGGUCGCAAAGCAAUUGAGUGCAUACCGAGGUCCAGUUACCUCGUAAAUCAGCUGGAAACAAACUAAACGCCAACGACAAGCGUUUCGCACUCGCCGCUUAAUCCCGGUGGGCGCUGCCCCGACAGGUUCCUGGGUCGGAUGAUGGGGUGAAAAUCCCGUCUUGCAGUGUCAUUUACAGGAACUCGUGGAUGCGUCGGGUUACUUGGCGCAUCUCCUAAAACCAAGGUAACUCGUUGCGGGACGGCCCGUCCGUCGGCCAACCCCCGUGAUUAAAUCCAAAUAGACGGGACAAGUAUGUAGAGCUCAUUGUGGAGGGCUUGCGGACGGGGGUUCGAUUCCCCCCGGCUCCACCA